AUAGAGGCAAGCUACUAAGGGCGCACGGUGGAUGCCUAGGAGCAAGGAGCCGAUGAAGGGCGUGGCAAGCUGCGAUAAGCCACGGGGAGCCGCAAGCAGGCGUUGAUCCGUGGAUUCCCGAAUGGGGAAACCCGGCCACCGCAAGGGUGGUCACCCACCGCUGAACCCAUAGGCGGUGUGGAGGGAACCUGGGGAACUGAAACAUCUCAGUACCCAGAGGAAAAGAAACCGAAUGGGAUUCCCUCAGUAGUGGCGAGCGAACGGGGAACAGCCUAAACCAGUCGGGCGUGCCCGAUUGGGGUCGUGGGACCGACACAAGGGAGCGUCUUCCGCUUAGCAGAAGCUGCCUGGAACGGCACGCCAUAGAGGGUGAGAGCCCCGUAUGCGAAAAGUGGAGCGCCCCGUCGGGAUCCCGAGUAGCACGGGAUAAGUGGAACCCUGUGCGAAUCUGCCCGGACCACCGGGUAAGGCUAAAUACUCCUUGCUACCGAUAGCGCAACCAGUACCGUGAGGGAAAGGUGAAAAGCACCCCGGCGAGGGGAGUGAAAGAGAACCUGAAACCGUGCGCUUACAAGCAGUCGGAGGGCUAUGCCCCGCAAGGGGAACAGCCUGACGGCGUGCCUUUUGCAGAAUGAGCCGGCGAGUUACGCUUUGUGGCAAGGUUAAGCGCCUCAGGCGCGGAGCCGCAGCGAAAGCGAGUCCUCACAGGGCGACUCAGUCACAAGGCGUAGACCCGAAACCGCGCGAUCUACCCCUGGUCAGGCUGAAGCCGUGGUAACACACGGUGGAGGGCCGAACCGGUGUCCGUUGAAAAGGGCUCGGAUGAACUGGGGGUAGUGUGGUGAAAUGCCAAUCGAGCGCGGAGAUAGCUGGUUCUCCCCGAAAUGCAUUGAGGUGCAGCGUCACGGGCUAUGCUAUGCAGGUAGAGCCACUGGAUGGGCUAGGGGCCCCACCAGGUUACCGAACCCAACCAAACUCCGAAUGGCAUAGCAGGAACCGUGGCAGUGAGACAGCGACGGAUGAGCGCCGUUGUCAAAAGGGAAACAGCCCAGACCGCCCGCUAAGGUCCCUAAGCACAGGCUAAGUGUGAAAGGAUGUAGGCUCGCGUAGACAACCAGGAGGUUGGCUUAGAAGCAGCCAUCCUUUAAACAGUGCGUAACAGCUGACUGGUCGAAUGUGAGCCUGCGCCGACAAUGUAAGGGGGCUUAAGCCUGUCACCGAAGCGGCGGGUUCCCAGCAAUGGGAGCGGUAGGGGAGCGUUCUGCACGCAGUGAAGGUGGAGCGUGAGCACCGCUGGAGCGUGCAGAAGUGAGAAUGCCGGCACGAGUAGCGAGAAGACGGGUGAGAAUCCCGUCCGCCGAAAGCCUAAGGGUUCUUCAGGCAGGUUCGUCCGCUGAAGGUUAGGCGGUCCUAAGCCGAGGGCGAAACGCCGUAGGCGAAGGGCAGUGGGUCAACAUUCCCACCCCAGGGCGUGGAGCGAGAACGGGGACGCUUGAGAAUCGGUCGGGCGCAGGGUUGUAAGGCUGCGCGCGCCCCAGCGGCAACUCUGGGGCGCCGAAGGGAUCCCUCGUGGUGAACGAAGCGACCGUGACUCAAGCCGAGAAAAGCCGUUCCGCGUUGAAACGUCCUGACCGUACCGCAAACCGACACAGGUAGGCGAGGCGAGGAGCCUCAGGCGCGCGAGAGAAGUCCCGCUAAGGAACUCGGCAAAUUGACCCCGUAACUUCGGGAGAAGGGGUGCCUCCGCAAGGAGGUCGCAGCAAAGAGGGCCCGGCGACUGUUUACCAAAAACACAGCUCUCUGCGAAGGGGUAACCCGACGUAUAGGGGGCGACGCUUGGCCAAUGCCCGUAGGUUAAGGGGAGGGGUCAGCCGCAAGGUGCAGCCCCAAACUGAAGCCCGGGUGAAUGCCGGCCGUAACUCUAACGGUUCAACUGCCUAUGGUAGCGAAAUUCCUUGUCGCGUAAAUUGCGACCCGCACGAAAAGCGUAACGACUGGGCCACUGUCUCAGCGGGACACUCGGUGAAACUGUAGUACCCGUGAAGAUGCGGGUUACCUGCGGUAGGACGGAAAGACCCUAUGGAGCUUUACUACAGCCUGGGAUUGCAUUUCGGUGUGUCAUGUAGAGCGUAGGUGGGAGCUUCGGCGCCAAUGGAACACCACCCUUGACCCACUGAAGUGCUAACCCGGACCGUAAGCCGGUUCGGAGACAGUCUUAGGUGGGUAGUUUGACUGGGGCGGUCGCCUCAAUAGUGGGGCGCUCCGAUGGUAACAUCGGAGGCGCCUAAACGGUAACGGAGGUGUUCAAAGGUCCGCUCAGCGCGGUCGGAAAUCGCGCGUCGAGUGCAAGGGCACAAGCGGGCUUGACUGUGAGACCUACGGGUCGAGCAGGGGCGAAAGCCGGACCUAGUGACCCUCUGGCAGUGCGUGGGCACGCCAGGGUUCAUCGGAUAAAAGCUACCCUAGGGAUAACAGGCUGAUCCUGCCCGAGCGCCCACAGCGACGGCGGGGUUUGGCACCUCGAUGUCGGCUCAA
RNAcentral lists this ribosomal RNA (2535 nucleotides) under Armatimonadetes bacterium DC. RNAcentral's name for it is "bacterial LSU rRNA". It matches the Rfam family "Bacterial large subunit ribosomal RNA", at positions 1 to 2540 of the family's 2925-position model. Lineage: Bacteria; Bacillati; Armatimonadota. The record is from RNAcentral.